This 97-nucleotide small RNA is filed under the name Pedobacter sp. SG918. RNAcentral's name for it is "Flavo-1 RNA". It matches the Rfam family "Flavo-1 RNA". The record is from RNAcentral. Lineage: Bacteria; Pseudomonadati; Bacteroidota; Sphingobacteriia; Sphingobacteriales; Sphingobacteriaceae.
UCUUAAACCCGACAGGAGCAGAAAUACUUUUUGUAGCUCCUUCGACAGGCUCAGGAUGACAAUAGCAAAAAGAUUGUAGCGUAUGGCGGGACUAUCG